CCCCCUUUACCCACAGCAGGGGAGGGGGCUUCCAAGGGGUAGGGGUGGCUUAAAAUUCCCAAGCCCCAGGAAUAAGGGGAAAGGGGAAGCGUGCGGGACGGAGCAGCCAUGCUGGAGGGAGAAGGGGGAGAGAAAGGAGAGAAGAGGAGAGUAGGAGGAGAGUGGGGUCCUCGUGCAAAACGGAGAGACAGGUGGCCCAGGAAGGGCAGGGAGGAGGCCGUUGGCAAGGGCACCGGUGGGACUUCUGGCUCUACUGCCACUGAACCCCCAGCUACACUUGCUGUCGAGGGUCCUGAGCAAGCACUCAGGGCCAGCAGCCCAUCAGUUCCAGCCCCUGUCACCGAGACGGUGGGGCUGGUAGGGGUGACGGGGUCUCUCAGUCCCCCACUGGGGCCAGGCCGCAACCCUCCACUGGCCCCCAGUGCCCGGCUCCGGAGCUUAGAGGGAGUCAUGAGCUGUGGGGGGUACGGUGGGCCAGGAGUCCCGCUCCCCCCAAAGGCCUGGCCGUCCAGGUAGGCCACAUAGGUGUCCAGAAGCUCGGGGCCACUGGACACACCAGCCCCACCCCCGCCACCUCCACCACCCCCUGCGCUCCCACCACCUUCAGCAGACAGGCUGCUCAGCGUGGAUGCGCUACUGAUGGUCUCCAGGGGGUGGUCACUGCUGCUCCGACUGUCCACCUCCUCAAUACCAGAAUCCGUGCCUGGUGGAGGGUCUGGACCCGGCUGAGGGACGGGGGGAGCCGGUGCUGCUGGGGCCGGAGGGCCUGGUGGAGGGGGGUCUCCAGGAGCUGAAGGAGCCCCCUGGGUCAGUGUGGCCACCUCACUGUCGUAGGACGUCAGGCUCGAUGCGGUGGAGUCCAGGGUGGGAGGGGCGGGGGCCACCGCUGGGGG
RNAcentral lists this long non-coding RNA (893 nucleotides) under Ictidomys tridecemlineatus (thirteen-lined ground squirrel). RNAcentral's name for it is "lncRNA (ENSSTOG00000034745.1)". Lineage: Eukaryota; Metazoa; Chordata; Mammalia; Rodentia; Sciuridae. The record is from RNAcentral.